Molecule: non-coding RNA, 21 nt
Filed under: Gallus gallus (chicken)
Lineage: Eukaryota; Metazoa; Chordata; Aves; Galliformes; Phasianidae
Also listed under: 1 other name
Source: RNAcentral
CCCUGGUGGUCUAGUGGUUAG